UACGUAGGGUGCGAGCGUUGUCCGGAAUUACUGGGCGUAAAGGGCUCGUAGGCGGCCAACUAAGUCAGACGUGAAAUCCCUCGGCUUAACCGGGGAACUGCGUCUGAUACUGGAUGGCUUGAGUUUGGGAGAGGGACGCGGAAUUCCAGGUGUAGCGGUGAAAUGCGUAGAUAUCUGGAGGAACACCGGUGGCGAAGGCGGCAUCCUGGACCGGUAUUGACGCUGAUGAGCGAAAGCCAGGGGAGCAAACGGG
This 253-nucleotide ribosomal RNA is filed under the name uncultured bacterium. RNAcentral describes it as "partial 16S ribosomal RNA". It matches the Rfam family "Bacterial small subunit ribosomal RNA", at positions 524 to 776 of the family's 1533-position model. The record is from RNAcentral.